RNAcentral lists this ribosomal RNA (497 nucleotides) under uncultured bacterium. Its description in RNAcentral is "partial 16S ribosomal RNA". It matches the Rfam family "Bacterial small subunit ribosomal RNA", at positions 28 to 507 of the family's 1533-position model. The record is from RNAcentral.
GAUGAACGCUGGCGGCGUGCCUAAUACAUGCAAGUCGAGCGAACAGACGAGGAGCUUGCUCCUCUGACGUUAGCGGCGGACGGGUGAGUAACACGUGGAUAACCUACCUAUAAGACUGGGAUAACUUCGGGAAACCGGAGCUAAUACCGGAUAAUAUAUUGAACCGCAUGGUUCAAUAGUGAAAGACGGUUUUGCUGUCACUUAUAGAUGGAUCCGCGCCGCAUUAGCUAGUUGGUAAGGUAACGGCUUACCAAGGCAACGAUGCGUAGCCGACCUGAGAGGGUGAUCGGCCACACUGGAACUGAGACACGGUCCAGACUCCUACGGGAGGCAGCAGUAGGGAAUCUUCCGCAAUGGGCGAAAGCCUGACGGAACAACGCCGCGUGAGUGAUGAAGGUCUUCGGAUCGUAAAACUCUGUUACUAGGGAAGAACAAAUGUGUAAGUAACUAUGCACGUCUUGACGGUACCUAAUCAGAAAGCCACGGCUAACUACGUG